UGGGGGAUCGUCUAAUGGUAGGACGGUAGAGUCUGGUUCUACAGAUAUAGGUUCGAGUCCUAUUCCCCCAU
Molecule: transfer RNA, 71 nt
Filed under: Caulobacter phage CcrColossus
Lineage: Duplodnaviria; Heunggongvirae; Uroviricota; Caudoviricetes; Jeanschmidtviridae
Rfam family: tRNA
About the family: Transfer RNA (tRNA) molecules are approximately 80 nucleotides in length.
Source: Rfam by way of RNAcentral